GACGAACGCUGGAGGCGUGCUUAACACAUGCAAGUCGAACGAUGAAGUGGAGCUUGCUCCACGGAUUAGUGGCGAACGGGUGAGUAACACGUGAAUAACCUGCCCUCAAUUUCGGAAUAACCCAGGGAAACCUGGGCUAAUACCGGAUACGUAAACCUGUGGCAUCACAUGGUUUUGGAAAGUUUUUCGAUUGAGGAUGGAUUCGCGGCCUAUCAGCUUGUUGGUGAGGUAAUGGCUCACCAAGGCGACGACGGGUAGCCGGCCUGAGAGGGUGAACGGCCACACUGGGACUGAGACACGGCCCAGACUCCUACGGGAGGCAGCAGUGGGGAAUAUUGGACAAUGGGCGAAAGCCUGAUCCAGCAAUGCCGCGUGAGUGAUGAAGGCCUUAGGGUGUAAAGCUCUUUUACCAGGGAUGAUAAUGACAGUACCU
Molecule: ribosomal RNA, 433 nt
Filed under: uncultured bacterium
Lineage: Bacteria
Description: bacterial SSU rRNA
Rfam family: Bacterial small subunit ribosomal RNA
Source: RNAcentral